This 1162-nucleotide ribosomal RNA is filed under the name Johanseninema constrictum. RNAcentral's name for it is "bacterial SSU rRNA". It matches the Rfam family "Bacterial small subunit ribosomal RNA", at positions 356 to 1531 of the family's 1533-position model. Lineage: Bacteria; Bacillati; Cyanobacteriota; Cyanophyceae; Chroococcales; Chroococcaceae. The record is from RNAcentral.
GGGGAAUUUUCCGCAAUGGGCGAAAGCCUGACGGAGCAAGACCGCGUGAGGGAGGAAGGCUCUUGGGUUGUAAACCUCUUUUAUUAGGGAAGAAGUUCUGACGGUACCUAAUGAAUCAGCAUCGGCUAACUCCGUGCCAGCAGCCGCGGUAAUACGGGGGAUGCAAGCGUUAUCCGGAAUUAUUGGGCGUAAAGCGUCCGCAGGUGGCCUUUCAAGUCUGCUGUUAAAAACCAGGGCUUAACCCUGGGUCGGCGGUGGAAACUGAAAAGCUAGAGUCCGGUAGGGGUAGAGGGAAUUUCCAGUGUAGCGGUGAAAUGCGUAGAUAUUGGAAAGAACACCAGUGGCGAAGGCGCUCUACUAGGCCGGUACUGACGCUCAGGGACGAAAGCUAGGGGAGCGAAAGGGAUUAGAUACCCCUGUAGUCCUAGCUGUAAACGAUGGAUACUAGGCGUAGUCUGUAUCGACCCGGACUGUGCCGAAGCUAACGCGUUAAGUAUCCCGCCUGGGGAGUACGCACGCAAGUGUGAAACUCAAAGGAAUUGACGGGGGCCCGCACAAGCGGUGGAGUAUGUGGUUUAAUUCGAUGCAACGCGAAGAACCUUACCAGGACUUGACAUGUCGCGAAUCUCGGUGAAAGCUGAGAGUGCCUUCGGGAGCGCGAACACAGGUGGUGCAUGGCUGUCGUCAGCUCGUGUCGUGAGAUGUUGGGUUAAGUCCCGCAACGAGCGCAACCCUCGUUUUUAGUUGCCAUCAUUAAGUUGGGCACUCCAGAGAGACUGCCGGUGACAAACCGGAGGAGGGUGGGGAUGACGUCAAGUCAGCAUGCCCCUUACGUUCUGGGCUACACACGUACUACAAUGGUCGGGACAACGGGCAGCAAACUCGCGAGAGUAAGCGAAUCUCAUCAAACCCGGCCUCAGUUCAGAUUGCAGGCUGCAACUCGCCUGCAUGAAGGAGGAAUCGCUAGUAAUCGUCGGUCAGCAUACGGCGGUGAACUCGUUCCCGGGCCUUGUACACACCGCCCGUCACACCAUGGAAGCUGGCCACGCCCGAAGUCGUUACCCUAACCCGUAAGGGAGGGGGAUGCCUAAGGCAGGGCUAGUGACUGGGGUGAAGUCGUAACAAGGUAGCCGUACCGGAAGGUGUGGCUGGAUCACCUCCU